Molecule: long non-coding RNA, 413 nt
Organism: Mytilus californianus (California mussel)
Lineage: Eukaryota; Metazoa; Mollusca; Bivalvia; Mytilida; Mytilidae
Exons: 3
Source: RefSeq, a predicted model, not a curated record
UGGAUAUGUUAACAGAAAAAGAAAAUAUUUGUGAUAAUCUUAUUGAAAUUUCAGCAUCUGAAUAUACAGUUACAUCAGAAGAGUCAGGAAGUCAAAAUUAUUUAUCCCAGUCACAACAAUCAGUCAGAAGUUAUGAACGUGGCAGCUACUUGACAUCUUUGAAUGAUUUCCUGUCAUCAGUCAGAUUGCAGGAAUUCUCAGAAAAAGAAAGAAAAACAUGGCAGUCCUACACAUUUAAAACAAGAAACACCUACAAAGAAAGAAUUGAUGAGAUUAUGAAAUUGAUAAUAGGAAUUUUAUUUCCAAACGAUGUUGACGAAGUAAUUGAAGAUAUAAAAUGUCCCAAGCAGUUAAAUGAAGAAAACAGAACCGAUCAUACAGAGUACAAAGAUAUUGUAACUUCAUACAGAAAA